AUAACAAUACAGGACUCUUUCGAGGCCCUGUAAUUGGAAUGAGUACACAUUAAAUCCUUUAACAAGGAUCUAUUGGAGGGCAAGUCUGGUGCAGAGCGACUGACCCGUGCGUGCUGCAGCUGAAA
RNAcentral lists this ribosomal RNA (125 nucleotides) under Pelobates cultripes (western spadefoot toad). RNAcentral's name for it is "SSU_rRNA_eukarya". The record is from RNAcentral. Lineage: Eukaryota; Metazoa; Chordata; Amphibia; Anura; Pelobatidae.